UACGUAGGGUGCAAGCGUUAAUCGGAAUUACUGGGCGUAAAGCGUGCGCAGGCGGUUAUGCAAGACAGAUGGGAAAUCCCCGGGCUUAACCUGGGAACCGCAUUUGUGACUGCAUAGCUGGAGUACGGCAGAGGGGGAUGGAAUUCCGCGUGUAGCAGUGAAAUGCGUAGAUAUGCGGAGGAACACCGAUGGCGAAGGCAGUCCCCUGGGCCUGUACUGACGCUCAUGCACGAAAGCGUGGGGAGCAAACAGG
Molecule: ribosomal RNA, 253 nt
Filed under: uncultured bacterium
Lineage: Bacteria
Description: partial 16S ribosomal RNA
Rfam family: Bacterial small subunit ribosomal RNA
Source: RNAcentral